UUUAACUUCUACUCAUUUUUCUCUUAUCAUAUUAUUUAUUUACUUUUGAAAUCUCAUAUAUUUACAAUUGAUCUUAAAACACUUUAAGGAGAAAAAGUUAUUUCAGGCGAGGAUAAUAAAUAAAGAAAACAUUGAGAUAAUAAAGAAAUAAACACGUGACCGAUAUAUUUAUCAAAGUUUAAAAAAUUAUCAGUUUUUAUAUCAUUUGUAUCAACUAUGUAACUGCGACAAAGUUGACAUGAGUAAUCGUGCUGAUAACACGUGUAUAUAAAUACCCGCCCGUCCGAAAAUUAAGAAAAAAAAAUCGAAGUAAACGAGUCAUUUAUACCUUCUUACAUCUAUAUUCCUUUCGAAAUUACGUAAAAAUCCAACUAAAACAGCGAAAAACCGAGAGUACAGAGGGUAGACUUGAAUCAUAAUGGACGUCACAUUAAUAUUAUUUUGCAUCUUCAUCACGAUUCUUUUCACAUUUGCACCUCCGUUAUGUGGAAGAAUGGACAGCUCUCCGGAUAAGAAGGAAGAGAAAGAAAAGAAGGAUGCGUGAUUAUUGUUAACGUUAUUAAUUUUAUAUAUAUUUAUUUAUAUAAGUAUAUAUCGCAUCGAUAUACCGUAAAUGGGUUAAUUAACUUUUAUAUUGUAUUAAAUGCCCAUUAAAAUUUAUAGUGUUUAUAAUGUUGUGUAAUUUUAAAUUCAAUAAAGGCCGAAAUGAACAUUUGAAAGCGACAAUUAAAAUGUAAA
Molecule: long non-coding RNA, 738 nt
Organism: Centruroides sculpturatus (bark scorpion)
Lineage: Eukaryota; Metazoa; Arthropoda; Arachnida; Scorpiones; Buthidae
Exons: 2
Source: RefSeq, a predicted model, not a curated record